This 510-nucleotide ribosomal RNA is filed under the name uncultured Desulfobulbus sp. RNAcentral describes it as "bacterial SSU rRNA". It matches the Rfam family "Bacterial small subunit ribosomal RNA", at positions 903 to 1382 of the family's 1533-position model. The record is from RNAcentral. Lineage: Bacteria; Pseudomonadati; Thermodesulfobacteriota; Desulfobulbia; Desulfobulbales; Desulfobulbaceae.
CGCCUUGCCAGCCCGCUCAGAACUCAAAGGAAUUGACGGGGGCCCGGCACAAGCGGUGGAGUAUGUGGUUAAUUCGAUGCAACGCGAAGAACCUUACCUGGUCUUGACAUCCCGGAGACCCUUAGGAAACUAGGGGGUGCUUCCAUCUGGAAGAAUCUGGAGACAGGUGCUGCAUGGCUGUCGUCAGCUCGUGUCGUGAGAUGUUGGGUUAAGUCCCGCAACGAGCGCAACCCUUGCCUUUAGUUGCCAGCAGUUCGGCUGGGCACUCUAAAGGGACUGCCGGUGUUAAACCGGAGGAAGGUGGGGAUGACGUCAAGUCCUCAUGGCCUUUAUGACCAGGGCUACACACGUACUACAAUGGCCGAUACAAAGGGCAGCGACACUGCGAGGUGAAGCCAAUCCCGUAAAAUCGGUCUCAGUCCGGAUUGGAGUCUGCAACUCGACUCCAUGAAGUUGGAAUCGCUAGUAAUCGUGGAUCAGCAUGCCACGGUGAAUACGUUCCCGGGCCUU